CGCUAUCAGAUGAGCCUAGGUCGGAUUAGCUAGUUGGUGGGGUAAAGGCCUACCAAGGCGACGAUCCGUAACUGGUCUGAGAGGAUGAUCAGUCACACUGGAACUGAGACACGGUCCAGACUCCUACGGGAGGCAGCAGUGGGGAAUAUUGGACAAUGGGCGAAAGCCUGAUCCAGCCAUGCCGCGUGUGUGAAGAAGGUCUUCGGAUUGUAAAGCACUUUAAGUUGGGAGGAAGGGCAGUAAGUUAAUACCUUGCUGUUUUGACGUUACCAACAGAAUAAGCACCGGCUAACUUCGUGCCAGCAGCCGCGGUAAUACGAAGGGUGCAAGCGUUAAUCGGAAUUACUGGGCGUAAAGCGCGCGUAGGUGGUU
This 372-nucleotide ribosomal RNA is filed under the name Pseudomonas nitroreducens. Its description in RNAcentral is "bacterial SSU rRNA". It matches the Rfam family "Bacterial small subunit ribosomal RNA", at positions 216 to 580 of the family's 1533-position model. Lineage: Bacteria; Pseudomonadati; Pseudomonadota; Gammaproteobacteria; Pseudomonadales; Pseudomonadaceae. The record is from RNAcentral.